This 72-nucleotide transfer RNA is filed under the name Fibrobacterales bacterium. RNAcentral describes it as "tRNA-Glu". It matches the Rfam family "tRNA". Rfam says of the family: Transfer RNA (tRNA) molecules are approximately 80 nucleotides in length. Their secondary structure includes four short double-helical elements and three loops (D, anti-codon, and T loops). The record is from RNAcentral. Lineage: Bacteria; Pseudomonadati; Fibrobacterota; Fibrobacteria; Fibrobacterales.
GCCCUCAUCGUCUAGUGGUUAGGACAUAGGACUUUCAAUCCUAGAAUAGGGGUUCAACUCCCCUUGAGGGUA